This is a long non-coding RNA of Olea europaea var. sylvestris, 1274 nucleotides long. RefSeq lists it as uncharacterized. The record is from RefSeq and is a predicted model, not a curated record. The transcript has 2 exons. Lineage: Eukaryota; Viridiplantae; Streptophyta; Magnoliopsida; Lamiales; Oleaceae.
AAACUGAAUGCAAAAGUGGAAAGAAGAAACAGAGUAAACAAAAAAGAAAUUCGCUUCAUCUUCAUCUUCAACCUUCAAGGCACCAAUAUAUAGAAGGUUGGAGAUAGUAAUGAAAAGAAACAAAGGUUUUGGGACGGGGUCUGCAAUAUAUUCACGUUAGAAAGAUAUUUUCCUUUUGACUCUGGUUAACCCAUAUGAAUGUGAUCUAUAUGUUUAUUAUAACCCUAGUAAUUUUUCUAAUUGGGAAUUUGGUGGUUCACAAGUGUUAGAUCCACACUUCUUUAAAAUGAACGAACUUUUGAGUUAUUUUUCAUGAUUACACAUGACAGGAUAUUUGCUGAAGCAAAUAAGCAAGUCUGAAUAUAUUUUAUUUGGGUUCUUCUUUUGAUUGUGGUCCUUGUCUAAGAAUUUGGAAAAUAUUAUUCCAGAAAUUUCCAAAAUAGACUGCAUGCAUACUUACUGGCAAGAUUGCCUCGAGAAUUAUCAGUGUCUAUGUUGGCUAAAUUUUGCUUUUGCUCCAGCAUAUGCAAUUACUUUUAAUGACAUCAUUAUGGUGCUUCGCUAAAUCCUUUUCUUGUACACCGUGUUGACGAUUCUUCCUCAAAGACCUGUCAUGAUUCCUCUUGCAAUUCCAUUUUCUUUCUUUUUUUUCCUUUUUCCUCUUCCCUUGUUUCACGAUAAUAUAAUUGUUUUUCUCUGUAUGUUGUAAGUCGUGAAAAUUCUGUGGGUUCUAUCUUUUCUUUCUAAAUAUUUGAAUUCUAAGUUCGCUUUUUCUUUCUGUUUCCAUCAGGUUGCAGGAGCUGCUGUUAUUUUUGAGGUGCAAAGUCGUUCCAGAGCAGAAGCCAGAAAGGAGGAACUUCGUAGGAAGGAAUUAGAGGCUAUGAAGCAACGAGAUGAAGAUCUAGCAAGAGAAGUUGAGCUUCUUAAGCACAGAAUUGCUACGCUUGAGCUGGUUGCCAAAGAUCAAGGCAUUCGUGGUAUUUUCAACUUCAAGAGAGUAAGUAACACUGACGAUAAAGCGAUAACAGCUUAAUCACUCUUAACGGAAAACAUAAUGGAGAUUGGAACACACAAAAUCAUAUCAUCAUAAUUCAGUCAGCUUAAGCAGAAGAAUGCAAAGUAAGACCAUGAUUUUUAUAGGCCCCCCCAUCUAUGUAAAUCUUUGUAUAUUAACUCCAAUAUCACUCUGCUAAGGUUUAAAAUCCAUUUUUAUAGAAAGUUGCAUGCUUUGCUUCAAUCAACUGUUGGUGAGCUUUAUGAAUUACAAUUUUUAA